GGAUGCGAUCAUACCCGCACUAAAGCAUCGGAUCCCAUCAGAACUCCAAAGUUAAGCGUGCUUGGACGAGAGUAGUACUAGGAUGGGUGACAUCCUAGGAAGUCCUCGUGUUGCAUUGC
Non-coding RNA from Triticum aestivum (bread wheat), 119 nucleotides. NCBI's taxonomy places the organism in Eukaryota, Viridiplantae, Streptophyta, Magnoliopsida, Poales, Poaceae. The record is from Rfam.